RNAcentral lists this ribosomal RNA (84 nucleotides) under Staphylococcus aureus. RNAcentral's name for it is "partial 16S ribosomal RNA". It matches the Rfam family "Bacterial small subunit ribosomal RNA", at positions 1457 to 1533 of the family's 1533-position model. The record is from RNAcentral. Lineage: Bacteria; Bacillati; Bacillota; Bacilli; Caryophanales; Staphylococcaceae.
CGAAGGUGGGAUAAAUGAUUGGGGUGAAGUCGUAACAAGGUAGCCGUAUCGGAAGGUGCGGCUGGAUCACCUCCUUUCUAAGGA